CAGUCGCCGCGGUAAUACGUAGGGUGCAAGCGUUAAUCGGAAUUACUGGGCGUAAAGCGUGCGUAGGUGGUGGUUUAAGUCCGUUGUGAAAGCCCUGGGCUCAACCUGGGAAUUGCAGUGGAUACUGGAUCACUAGAGUGUGGUAGAGGAUAGUGGAAUUUCCGGUGUAGCGGUGAAAUGCGUAGAGAUCGGAAGGAACAUCUGUGGCGAAGGCGACUCUCUGGUCUGUAACUGACGCUGAGGAGCGAAAGCGUGGGGAGCGAACAGGAUUAGAUACCCCUGUAGUCCCUGUCUCUUAUAC
Molecule: ribosomal RNA, 301 nt
Filed under: uncultured bacterium
Lineage: Bacteria
Description: partial 16S ribosomal RNA
Rfam family: Bacterial small subunit ribosomal RNA
Source: RNAcentral